GAGAGAGAGAGAGAGAGAGAGAGAGAGAGAGAGAGAGAGAGAGAGAGGCUACUAAUGCUUUUGAAAGUACGGAGCCUUCCGUACUUUCAAAUCGUUUUCGAUGUUUCGACUUUUGAAUCGCCGAUCGACUCCGUUAAAUUUGAUCUAGAGUAUUUGAAGUACUUAGAAAAUAAAUUUUAUAAUUUUUCGAUAUCAUUUGCCUAGUGAUCGAAGGGGCUCAAAAUUAAUAAUUUUAAUGGCCGUGGUGAGCCGUUUGUAAGUUUAACGGUAUAGAAAUAUCCAAAUCACGUAAAAUUUUGAUAGAAAAUUCUUUAUACUAUAUAAAAUAAAGAAUUCUUUAUACUAUAGAAAAUUCUUUAUACUAUAGAAAAUUCUUGAUAGAAAAUUCUUUAUACUAUAAGAUCAAUAUUUUUGAUCUAAAAUUUUAAUGUCAUAUUAUCACGUUUUGUAAAAUUUUUAUUUUCAACCGUUGAUUCUGAGCCCCUUCAUUCACUAGGUAAAUGAUAUCGAAAAAUUACAAAAUUUAUUUUCUAGGUACUUUAAAUACUCUAGGUCAAGUUUAAUGAAGCCGAUCGACGAUUUGAAUGUCGCAAAAUAGAAAACGAUCUGGAAGCACGGAAGGCUCCGUGCUUCCAGAAGCAUAGUAGCCACACUCUAUAUAUAUAUCACCAUCAUCCCAACCCUACAUCUCUCCAUCCAAAGACUAAAAACUCAAAAGCACCACCCUCUUGGUAUUUUUGAGAGUAUUCUAGCUUAACUCUCUCUCUCUCUCUCUCUCUCUCUCUCUCUAUAUAUAUAUAUAUAUGUAUGUGUGUGUAGUGUGUGUGUUCGACUAUUAUGCUAUUGAUAGUACCAGGUUAUCAAGUUUUUCGUCAUUAAAUCUAUCCCUUUGACCAUUUACAGCCAUUAGAUUAUGCUAUUUAACGAACUAUCCAUUCAUCCUUAAAAAAUUACUCUCAUUCUAACUGCACAUCUCUUUAUUCAAGAGCCGAAAAGCUAACAGCACCUAAUACUUAGUACUAUUGAUAGUAUAAUAACAUACUUCUAUAUAUAAAUAUAAAAUACGCUAGUU
Molecule: long non-coding RNA, 1072 nt
Filed under: Ananas comosus (pineapple)
Lineage: Eukaryota; Viridiplantae; Streptophyta; Magnoliopsida; Poales; Bromeliaceae
Description: long non-coding RNA (ACOM_LNC000270)
Source: RNAcentral